CCCCUAGAUGUUCUGGGCCGCACACGCGCUACACUGAACAGUUCAACAAGUCUUAACCUUGGCCGAUAGGUCUGGGUAAUCUUUGAACGCUGUUCGUGAUUGGGAUAGACCUUUGCAAUUAUGGGUCUUCAACGAGGAAUUCCUAGUAAACGCAAGUCAUCAGCUUGCAUUGAUUACGUCCCUGCCCUUUGUACACACCGCCCGUCGCACCUACCGAUUGAAUGGUCCGGUGAAAUCUCGGGACGGCGGCUUGGUCGCUUGCGUCCGACUGCUGAAACUUGAUUAAACCAUAUCAUUUAGAGGAAGGUGAAGUCGUANCA
This 320-nucleotide ribosomal RNA is filed under the name uncultured eukaryote. Its description in RNAcentral is "partial 18S ribosomal RNA". It matches the Rfam family "Eukaryotic small subunit ribosomal RNA", at positions 1470 to 1796 of the family's 1831-position model. The record is from RNAcentral.